Molecule: ribosomal RNA, 389 nt
Filed under: uncultured bacterium
Lineage: Bacteria
Description: bacterial SSU rRNA
Rfam family: Bacterial small subunit ribosomal RNA
Source: RNAcentral
AUUGAACGCUGGCGGCAUGCUUUACACAUGCAAGUCGAACGGACUUAGGGGCUUGCUCCUGAGUUAGUGGCGAACGGGUGAGUAAUGCAUCGGAACGUACCGUGUAGUGGGGGAUAACGCAGCGAAAGUUGUGCUAAUACCGCAUACGAUCUACGGAUGAAAGCAGGGGAUCGCAAGACCUUGUGCUAUACGAGCGGCCGAUGUCGGAUUAGCUAGUUGGUGAGGUAAAGGCUCACCAAGGCGACGAUCCGUAGCGGGUCUGAGAGGAUGAUCCGCCACACUGGGACUGAGACACGGCCCAGACUCCUACGGGAGGCAGCAGUGGGGAAUUUUGGACAAUGGGCGCAAGCCUGAUCCAGCCAUGCCGCGUGAGUGAAGAAGGCCUCGGU